Chlorocebus sabaeus (green monkey) is the source of this 115-nucleotide microRNA precursor. The record is from Ensembl. NCBI's taxonomy places the organism in Eukaryota, Metazoa, Chordata, Mammalia, Primates, Cercopithecidae.
ACCACGGCCGUGAAGAGCGCUCCCUUGCUGUUGACGAACUGGCCGGGCAGCGCCGUCCACUGGCCCGUGGCCAGGUUGAGACAGUCGAUGGCGCAGUGCAGGAAGUCGUCGGAAG